RNAcentral lists this ribosomal RNA (1490 nucleotides) under uncultured bacterium. RNAcentral's name for it is "bacterial SSU rRNA". It matches the Rfam family "Bacterial small subunit ribosomal RNA". The record is from RNAcentral.
AGAGUUUGAUCCUGGCUCAGGAUGAACGCUAGCUACAGGCUUAACACAUGCAAGUCGAGGGGCAUCAGGAGGAAAGCUUGCUUUCUUUGCUGGCGACCGGCGCACGGGUGAGUAACACGUAUCCAACCUGCCCUUUACUCGGGGAUAGCCUUUCGAAAGAAAGAUUAAUACCCGAUGGCAUAAUGAUUCCGCAUGGUUUCAUUAUUAAAGGAUUCCGGUAAAGGAUGGGGAUGCGUUCCAUUAGGUUGUUGGUGAGGUAACGGCUCACCAAGCCUUCGAUGGAUAGGGGUUCUGAGAGGAAGGUCCCCCACAUUGGAACUGAGACACGGUCCAAACUCCUACGGGAGGCAGCAGUGAGGAAUAUUGGUCAAUGGGCGCUAGCCUGAACCAGCCAAGUAGCGUGAAGGAUGAAGGCUCUAUGGGUCGUAAACUUCUUUUAUAUAAGAAUAAAGUGCAGUAUGUAUACUGUUUUGUAUGUAUUAUAUGAAUAAGGAUCGGCUAACUCCGUGCCAGCAGCCGCGGUAAUACGGAGGAUCCGAGCGUUAUCCGGAUUUAUUGGGUUUAAAGGGAGCGUAGGUGGACUGGUAAGUCAGUUGUGAAAGUUUGCGGCUCAACCGUAAAAUUGCAGUUGAUACUGUCAGUCUUGAGUACAGUAGAGGUGGGCGGAAUUCGUGGUGUAGCGGUGAAAUGCUUAGAUAUCACGAAGAACUCCGAUUGCGAAGGCAGCUCACUGGACUGCAACUGACACUGAUGCUCGAAAGUGUGGGUAUCAAACAGGAUUAGAUACCCUGGUAGUCCACACAGUAAACGAUGAAUACUCGCUGUUUGCGAUAUACAGUAAGCGGCCAAGCGAAAGCAUUAAGUAUUCCACCUGGGGAGUACGCCGGCAACGGUGAAACUCAAAGGAAUUGACGGGGGCCCGCACAAGCGGAGGAACAUGUGGUUUAAUUCGAUGAUACGCGAGGAACCUUACCCGGGCUUAAAUUGCAGUGGAAUGAUGUGGAAACAUGUCAGUGAGCAAUCACCGCUGUGAAGGUGCUGCAUGGUUGUCGUCAGCUCGUGCCGUGAGGUGUCGGCUUAAGUGCCAUAACGAGCGCAACCCUUAUCUUUAGUUACUAACAGGUCAUGCUGAGGACUCUGGAGAGACUGCCGUCGUAAGAUGUGAGGAAGGUGGGGAUGACGUCAAAUCAGCACGGCCCUUACGUCCGGGGCUACACACGUGUUACAAUGGGGGGUACAGAAGGCAGCUAGCGGGUGACCGUAUGCUAAUCCCAAAAGCCUCUCUCAGUUCGGAUCGAAGUCUGCAACCCGACUUCGUGAAGCUGGAUUCGCUAGUAAUCGCGCAUCAGCCACGGCGCGGUGAAUACGUUCCCGGGCCUUGUACACACCGCCCGUCAAGCCAUGGGAGCCGGGGGUACCUGAAGUACGUAACCGCAAGGAUCGUCCUAGGGUAAAACUGGUGACUGGGGCUAAGUCGUAACAAGGUAGCC